UAACUCAGUUUUUUGUGUUUUCAAGCAUUUACUCCGGCUGUUGGCUCUGCUACUCCAUAUUCAAUAACCUGCUAAUACUCCUUGGAGUUUAAGACGUUCUCCAUUAGAAUUCUCUAAUGAUUAUAUUGACCACCGAAGUAGGGAAUUGCUAGUUACAUAAAGUUAUUGGUGGUGAUCAUGAUUUACUGUUUGCCGUAAGAAGAGUAAAUAAAACUACUGCUUUUCUCUUUCAUAUUUCACA
This 241-nucleotide long non-coding RNA is filed under the name Carica papaya (papaya). RNAcentral's name for it is "long non-coding RNA (CPAP_LNC007174)". The record is from RNAcentral. Lineage: Eukaryota; Viridiplantae; Streptophyta; Magnoliopsida; Brassicales; Caricaceae.